Molecule: long non-coding RNA, 2713 nt
Filed under: Polistes fuscatus (common paper wasp)
Lineage: Eukaryota; Metazoa; Arthropoda; Insecta; Hymenoptera; Vespidae
Description: uncharacterized LOC122523237, transcript variant X1
Source: RNAcentral
UAUAAUUAUAUUUAUUUAUAUUUGCAAAGUUAUUUUCCUCUAUUUUAGUUCUCGUAAUAUACAUAAUACAGUAGAUGCAGAGGGUAUCGAUAGAUACAUAGGUAGGAUCACUUAUAAGCCCGAAGUACAUAUGUGCAGGCAGCAGCCUUUCUGGGCAUUAGAUGGUCGGGCUAAGGUCUUAGAGGUCUCCUGGCAACCAAGCCUAUCAAACUAUCUUACGGUCUAACCCUUACAAACCCCUUAUACCCUAAAAACCUUCCUCAACCCCCUGGAAUCUCACUUCGAGCCCUUAACGACCGAUCCCACGAGAGACACUGCAAAAUUGAGAAAAUUAUCCUGCUUCGCGUUAUACGUAGACGAUAACUGCACGAUUCUCACACUGUCUAAAGCGAGCAAGCAAACGUAUAUAUCUGUAUAUACAUAGAAAAGCUUCUCUAUGUAUGAGUUUUCGAGAUGCAAGUUGAAACGUUGAAUGGGAGGGUGGAACUAAAUGGCCGACGGGUCGCUGCCAUCUUAGUUGCGAAUUAAGGAAAGGGUGCCGGACCCUCGUUGGAAACUAACUCUUGCACGAAAAGGGGAUGGCUGCGUUGCGCUGCAUCGUACUUCCCUUUGCGGCUUAGCCUGCAUUGACGCCAUUAUGUGCGUUACGCUACCUUUCUGUUUACAGCCAUUUUUGGAAGGUGAACAUUGCAACCAAAAAACGAUGCAAAUUCAAACGCGUUGAUUUGGAAUGAAGAAGGAAAAUACAUGGAUAUUGUUAAAUAAUCAUUUAUCAUUAAUUUUAAAUAAAAUAAAAUCAUCCUUUAUUGUUUCUCAGUUUGUAACGCGUUUUAGAAAUUUCGCGAAUAUUAAGAUAAGAUCUUUAACAAAUUCGUGGUUGAAACGUUUCGAGAGCACGCGUUGCCGGAUAUUAUUUUUAGCGCGGAACCGUGUUUCCGCAGCAAAUUGUAAUAUAAUUUGGACUUGAGUUAAAUGGCACGUGGAAAUGAUUCCAUUCCAUUACUCUAGAAUACCACGAACUUGGUACAAACUAGAUUUCUCACUCCGUAUGGUAAACGGUUGGACUUGUAUUAAGAUGUAAGUUCGCCAUUCGGAAACGAACUAAACUAAAUUGAUAUUUAACCUGUCCUUCAGCCGAACCGGAGAGAGAUAAGAGCGAGAGGAAGAAAUCAUAAAAUGAAUUCGGUAUUUAUACCAUUUUGAUUAAAUUUAACUAAAUAUAUGAUCAUAAAAUUAAAGAUACAAAUAAAGGGGUAGAAAGAUUUUAAACUCGUUGAAAUUAUGAGGGUUACGAAACGAUCGCGUUUGUUUUCCUGAAUACAAUGAACCAUGAACUCGUCGUGUCUCUCUCGCGUUAACUCCUUCCUGUAUGUAAGUUUCAUCUAGGUGAAUAACAGAGAUAGAGAGAAAGGACACAAGUGUGCAGAUCGUAGAGGAACACCAACGACCAAAAGGGUCGGCCUGUCGUCGUUCUAGCACGGUUACAGCGGCCGCGAAGGCUGACAGAAGUUGUAAACUUUAUGGUAAACCGUAGCGGCGACUGUCAGCCACGGCCGGUAAAUGGUGAAGGUGCCGGUGCAGCCGUGUGCUUAAUCCAAUCCGGAGUUUGUUCUUUCGGCGAUCGACGUAAUCACUGGCCACACGUAGUUUCCAACCUGCUAGUACGACCGACCUAACGCUUCGUUCUAAGGAGCUCGGAUUUAUAGGUCGAAGAGAACUAUAUGAAUUUCAACGUACUAUAAUUUCAAGCGAAUCCAUUGCAGAAAUAUCGCAGUAUUAGAUUUCCGUACUUUUAGUCAAACGAAAUUGCAAUCUAUCGCUCUUCGAAAGUACAUAUAGACAAAUAAAUGGAUGUAACGAGGGGAUGCACCAAAAUCUAUAGCUCGUCACUAUAUUUUCGAUCAAUAAUGUACCACAGUAACAUUUAUAAACGCUAUUGCAAACCUUACCAAAUAUUCAAUUACCUAUCGUUUCGAUGAAAUUAACGAGAAAGCAAAGAAACAAUCUGAUUAUUUCCACUCAAUUUGCGCGGAUUGUCGGAGUGUAAUUAAAAAGUCUGGUUAUCCUGGAUUCAACAGGUUACAUGGAUAAUUCGAGUGCUGAUCGGUUAAUCCUGAAGCUAUAAAAAUAGCGAUUGCUGCUAAUGAAACUGAGAAAUUUUUUUGUGAGAAGGAAAAACUAGUUGAUAGAAAUAAGUUCCUGAAGGAAGUAUUGUCUAUCUCAAUUUCUCUCUUUUGUGUGUGCGCGUCCAUAGGGAAUUCAUUUAGGUAUAGUGAGAAGCUACCUCUAUUCAGGGGUGUUUCGGCUGGGACGCGAUUAAUUAUGGGGUUCCUUUUGGGGAUGCCGAGCUCGAGGCUUUGAGCCCAGUCGGGGGUGGCACGUAGGGUGGGAAGUAUAAGAUACGUUCACGGCCAACGUAGAAACCCAGCUUAGCUUCCUCGAGUAUUAGAUCAAUAAUUCUAACCUCGAAUUGCUCAGACACGAAUGUCGAAAGGGAUUCUCGAAGUAAUGCGAUAUUAGUUCUCGUCUAGUGAUACUUGUACUAGUCGAGAUCGUUUUACUACGAAAGUAUGAAAUUUCAAAAUAAGAUCGGGUGAUUUGUUUUCAUAAAGAGCCAUAAAAUGAGAAGUAAUGGUAUAUAAAUUCAAAUAAGACAUCCAUCCGCGGAAUUGUAAUAUAGGUAUGUAAUUAAUAAAUUGAUCAGAACACUGCA